AUGAACGCUAGCGGCAGGGCCUAACACAUGCAAGUCGAGGGGCAGCAGGAGGUAGCAAUACCUUGCUGGCGACCGGCGCACGGGUGCGUAACGCGUAUGCAACCUACCUUUAAGAGGGGGAUAACCCAGAGAAAUCCGGACUAAUACCCCGUAUAGUAGCGGGACCGCAUGAUCUUGCUACGAAAGCUACGGUGCUUAAAGAUGGGCAUGCGUGACAUUAGCUAGUUGGUAAGGUAACGGCUUACCAAGGCGACGAUGUCUAGGGGAGCUGAGAGGCUAAUCCCCACACUGGUACUGAGACACGGACCAGACUCCUACGGGAGGCAGCAGUGAGGAAUAUUGGUCAAUGGACGGAAGUCUGAACCAGCCAUGCCGCGUGAAGGACAGAAGGCCCUAGAGGUUGUAAACUUCUUUUGUGCGGGAGUAAUAAGGACUUUGCGAAGUCCGAUGAGAGUACCGUACGAAUAAGCAUCGGCUAACUCCGUGCC
This 488-nucleotide ribosomal RNA is filed under the name uncultured bacterium. Its description in RNAcentral is "bacterial SSU rRNA". It matches the Rfam family "Bacterial small subunit ribosomal RNA", at positions 29 to 509 of the family's 1533-position model. The record is from RNAcentral.